GUGCACCUUUACUAUAGCUUAACGUUGUCUUUGAGUAGGUGAUGUGUAGGAUAGGUGGGAGACUAUGAAGUGGCAUCGCUAGAUGUUGUGGAGUCGUUGUUGAAAUACCACCCUUCAUUUGCUUAGAGACUAACCCUGAUGGGAACAUCGUUAGGUGGGUAGUUUGACUGGGGUGGUCGCCUCCUAAAAAGUAACGGAGGCUCCCAAAGGUUCCCUCAGCAUGGUUGGUAAUCAUGCAAAGAGCGUAUAAGUACAAGGGAGCUUGACUGAGAGACAAACAAGUCGAACAGGUACGAAAGUAGGGUUAAGUGAUCCGGUGUUUCUGAAUGGAAGGGACAUCGCUCAAAGGAUAAAAGGUACGCCGGGGAUAA
Molecule: ribosomal RNA, 371 nt
Filed under: Hemiselmis rufescens
Lineage: Eukaryota; Cryptophyceae; Cryptomonadales; Hemiselmidaceae
Description: partial Bacterial large subunit ribosomal RNA
Rfam family: Bacterial large subunit ribosomal RNA
Source: RNAcentral